AAGUCGUAACAAGGUAUCCGUAGGUGAACCUGCGGAUGGAUCAUUGCAAGAAGUUUUAAAACACUUCGACCCUUCUGUUGAACACGUUUGCUCUUUUAACGGAGAGAUGAGAGCGCUCGUUCGUUCUCUUCUCUCCUUUCUUUCUACCUUUUUCAUACAAACACUUUGUACUGAAUUGAUGUAAACUAUUUAGACAAGAUACAGCCUAACUGCUGUGUUAUUGUUUUAAAUUUCUUAAAAUAAAAAAUUUAAAGCACAACUCUUAGCAACGGAUCUCUUGGCUCUC
RNAcentral lists this unclassified non-coding RNA (286 nucleotides) under fungal sp. Its description in RNAcentral is "partial internal transcribed spacer region". The stretch from base 1 to 46 matches the Rfam family "Eukaryotic small subunit ribosomal RNA", at positions 1786 to 1831 of the family's 1831-position model. The record is from RNAcentral. Lineage: Eukaryota; Fungi.